GUUUCGUAUCAGCAGCAGUACUUCUGCGUUUGUUACACUUUCAGGAUUUGUCAUCAUCUCUAAAAUUCUCACACAUUUCAGUCAAGAAAAUUACAGAAAUAUAACCCUUUGUUUUUGUGGUGAUUGGACAUUUCUGUGUAUUUUUCCUUGUUUGGUGCUUGUGUUUUUUUUCUUUCAGAGACUGGGUGUGGCUUAUUGGCUGCUGGAGCUCUCUGCAAUCACUCACCUGUUCGUCAUCUGUAAUCACCGGCUGCAGCAUUUAUACCCUGGUUCAACUCUCCCAAGCUGCCUGAUUAUUUCUGCCUACACCAUGGCAGAUCGGCGUCUCAGUAGCCGUAGACUUUUUUGUGCUUUGGUUACCUGUCACUAAUUAUCCCUUGUCUUCUUUUUUCCCCAGUACCUCCAACCAUCGAGCUCCAGCGCCUCACCACCCAGCCUCUCAUUCAAGCCUCACCAGCCUUCAUCAGCCUCACUUCAAUAAACUGCUAACUGCUCACUCCCUUCUUAUUCCUGACACCAGUGUGUGCUGUCUCAUUUGAGCAGUCUCCUCCACAGAUAGUGAAGGAGAACACUGAGGUCCAGAUCACCUGCAGACAUGAUGAUAACGUCCGCUGAUGCUCUGGUAUCAGCAGAGAAACGACGGCCAGCCGCUGACCCUUAUUGGGUUUGAAAAUGGGAAAAGUACCCCAAGAUCGAGCGACAGGUGUGACGUUUCAGCAGUCUCAUCCCAGAAUAGUCAUCAACACAGCCAGGAUAGAAAUUGGAUGCAGCCAUAAUGAUGCCAACCUCUACGUGAUGCUCUGGUACCAGCAAACACAAAGCGGCCUGAUGAAUUUAAUCGGUGACAGCUACCUUAUCGGUGAACCCGACUAUGAGAAGAAGUUCAAGGAUCGGUUUGAGAUUACAAGAAAAGAUUUGACAACAGCAGCUCUGAUUAUUCCCAGUGUGACUCCAUCAGACUCAGCUGUGUAUUUCUGUGCUGCCAGUAACACAGUGAUGUGGUUUAAUAUCAGCCCCUCACUAAAACCCUCCUUUGUUUGUUUGCUCUGUGACAGCUGGUAGAAUCAGCACACACACAUCUACAUUACAGCUUAACAACAAGCUUUAAUUAAAUACAUCUCGUGUCAUUGUGUGGCUCUGAAUUUUGUAAUGAUAGUUACGUAAAGUUACUUUUGUACCAGGGCUGCAAACAAGGAUUGUCCUUAUCAGAGGCCCAAGUUCAAUCAAGUAUACAUUUUGUGCACACAACAUUAUAUCAUGCCAUUUUUUACUUUUUGGUACUUCAGGGGCUCCGUAGUUUUUAGUUCA
Non-coding RNA from Labrus bergylta (ballan wrasse), 1308 nucleotides. NCBI's taxonomy places the organism in Eukaryota, Metazoa, Chordata, Actinopteri, Labriformes, Labridae. The record is from the annotation of a RefSeq genome assembly.